RNAcentral lists this ribosomal RNA (510 nucleotides) under uncultured bacterium. RNAcentral describes it as "partial 16S ribosomal RNA". It matches the Rfam family "Bacterial small subunit ribosomal RNA", at positions 28 to 507 of the family's 1533-position model. The record is from RNAcentral.
GACGAACGCUGGCGGCGUGCUUAACACAUGCAAGUCGAACGAAGAGCGACGGAAUCUUGCUUCUAUCAAUCUUAGUGGCGCACGGGUGAGGAACGCGUAAUCAACCUGCCCUUCAGAGGGGGACAACAGUUGGAAACGACUGCUAAUACCGCAUACGAUCUAAUCUCGGCAUCGAGGACGGAUGAAAGGUGGCCUCUACAUGUAAGCAAUCACUGAAGGAGGGGAUUGCGUCUGAUUAGCUAGUUGGCGGGGGAACGGCCCACCAAGGCGAUGAUCAGUAGCCGGUCUGCGAGCAUGAACGGCCACAUUGGGACUGAGCCACGGCCCCGACUCCUACGGGAGGCAGCAGUGGGGGAUCUUCCGCAAUGGACGAAAGUCUGACGGGGCAACGCCGCGUGAGUGAUGACGGCCUUCGGGUUGUAAAGCUCUGUUAAUCGGGACGAAAGGCCUUCUUGCGAAUAGUGAGAAGGAUUGACGGUACCGGAAUAGAAAGCCACGGCUAACUACGUG